Oxyura jamaicensis (ruddy duck) is the source of this 537-nucleotide long non-coding RNA. RefSeq lists it as uncharacterized. The transcript has 3 exons. Lineage: Eukaryota; Metazoa; Chordata; Aves; Anseriformes; Anatidae. The record is from RefSeq and is a predicted model, not a curated record.
AGUGAACCCGCCUAUAGCUGUUUCCACUCAAGUCCUGGUAGAAGACUUACCAAAUGACUUACCCCAAGAGUAGUCUGGCCUGCUAUGUAUUUCCAGUGCCUUUUUAAGAGUGAGUGGUAACCAUCCACUGCCACACUCACCCAGGUUCAGAGUGACAGCUGGCAGGAGAAUAUCCUACUGCCAAAGUGAGGAUGCCUGUCUGUGCCAGAAGGAAGGUGUUUGUAAGACAACCAGACUGGGGACCAUUGUAAUGUGAAAACUAUCAGAAGUGUAUUUCUCAAGAAGAGUCACCACAGUAUGGUGGUAAUGAAGGAACUAUUUCACAAAAAGAAAGUUCUGGGGUAGACCUUUCUACAAUCUGCAGAUCUUCAGCACAGCUCCAAGUAUUGUAUCACUGCUUGGCUCCCUCAUCCGUGUCUGUAAAUGUGAAAAGGGAAGAAGCCUUCACCACCUGAGGGCAUGAAGACACCAGAUGACACAUUUGCCUUGAAGCUGUUUCUGUGGGAUUUGUUGUCUUGUAUUCACUACUUUCUCUAA